UACGUAGGGGGCAAGCGUUGUCCGGAUUUAUUGGGCGUAAAGAGCGUGUAGGCGGCUUCACAGGUCCGCUGUGAAAACUCGAGGCUCAACCUCGAGCUGUCGGUGGAAACCGUGUGGCUAGAGUCCGGAAGAGGAGAGUGGAAUUCCCGGUGUAGCGGUGAAAUGCGCAGAUAUCGGGAAGAACACCCGUGGCGAAGGCGGCUCUCUGGGGCGGUACUGACGCUGAGACGCGAAAGCGUGGGGAGCGAACAGG
RNAcentral lists this ribosomal RNA (253 nucleotides) under uncultured bacterium. RNAcentral's name for it is "partial 16S ribosomal RNA". It matches the Rfam family "Bacterial small subunit ribosomal RNA", at positions 524 to 776 of the family's 1533-position model. The record is from RNAcentral.